GUGAGGAAUUUUCCGCAAUGGGCGAAAGCCUGACGGAGCAAUGCCGCGUGAAGGAUGAAGGCCUAUGGGUUGUAAACUUCUUUUCUCAGAAAAGAAUUAUGACGGUAUCUGAGGAAUAAGCAUCGGCUAACUCUGUGCCAGCAGACGCGGUAAGAAAGAGGAUGCAAGCGUUAUCCGGAAUGAUUGGGCGUAAAGCGUCUGUAGGUUGUUUAAAAAGUAUUCUGUCAAAGAUUAGGGCUUAACCCUAGAUAGGCAGAAUAAACUUUUAAGCUAGAGUUUGGUAGAGGCAGAGGGAAUUCCCGGUGGAGCGGUAAAAUGCGUAGAUAUCGGGAGGAACACCAAAGGCGAAGGCACUCUGCUGGGCCAAUACUAACACUGAGAGACGAAAGCGAGGGGAGCAAAUGGGAUUAGAUACCCGAGUAGUCC
Molecule: ribosomal RNA, 426 nt
Filed under: uncultured bacterium
Lineage: Bacteria
Description: partial 16S ribosomal RNA
Rfam family: Bacterial small subunit ribosomal RNA
Source: RNAcentral